GGGAGCAAACAGGAUUAGAUACCCUGGUAGUCCACGUUUUACCCCUUGCAAACUAGUUGUUGCGAUGCUCGACAUCGCAGUAAUGCAGUUAACACAUUAAGUGUGCCGCCUGGGGAGUACGGUCGCAAGAUUAAAACUCAAAGGAAUAGACGGGGACCCGCACAAGCGGUGGAGCAUGUGGUUUAAUUCGACGAUACGCGAAGAACCUUACCUGGCCUUGACAUAGACAGAACAUAACAGAGAUGUAUUGGUGCUAGUUUACUAGAGCUGUCAUACAGGUGCUGCACGGCUGUCGUCAGCUCGUGUCGUGAGAUGUUGGGUUAAGUCCCGCAACGAGCGCAACCCUCGUGUCUAGUUGCUAACAGUUAGGCUGAGAACUCUAGACAGACUGCCUGGGUAACCAGGAGGAAGGUGAGGACGACGUCAAGUCAUCAUGGCCCUUACGGCCAGGGCUACACACGUGCUACAAUGGGGGAUACAAAGAGCUGCAAUACCGCGAGGUGGAGCAAAUCUCAAAAAUCUCUCCCAGUUCGGAUUGUUCUCUGCAACUCGAGAACAUGAAGUUGGAAUCGCUAGUAAUCGUAGAUCAGCAAUGCUACGGUGAAUACCUUCCCGGGUCUUGUACUCACCGCCCGUCACACCAUGGGAGUUGAAUUCAUUCGAAGCGGGGAUGCUAAAGUAGCUACCUUCCACAGUGGAUUUAGUAACUAGGGUGAAGUCGUAACAAGGUA
RNAcentral lists this ribosomal RNA (731 nucleotides) under uncultured Campylobacterota bacterium. Its description in RNAcentral is "bacterial SSU rRNA". It matches the Rfam family "Bacterial small subunit ribosomal RNA", at positions 764 to 1498 of the family's 1533-position model. Lineage: Bacteria; Pseudomonadati; Campylobacterota. The record is from RNAcentral.